GAUGAACGCUAGCGGCAGGCUUAACACAUGCAAGUCGAGGGGCAGCGGGGAGUGGCAACACUCUGCCGGCGACCGGCGCACGGGUGAGUAACGCGUAUGCAACCUGCCCGCACCAGGGGGAUAACCGGGAGAAAUCCCGUCUAAUACCGCGUAACGCCUUGUGGGGGCAUCCCCAUGAGGCCAAAGGUUUUCCGGGAGCGGAUGGGCAUGCGUGACAUUAGCUAGUUGGCGGGGUAACGGCCCACCAAGGCGACGAUCAGUAGCCGACCUGAGAGGGUGAUCGGCCACAUUGGGACCGAGACACGGCCCAAACUCCUACGGGAGGCAGCAGUGGGGGAUAUUGCACAAUGGAGGAAACUCUGAUGCAGCGACGCCGCGUGAGUGAAGAAGUAUUUCGGUAUGUAAAGCUCUAUCAGCAGGGAAGAUAAUGACAGUACCUGACUAAGAAGCCCCGGCUAACUACGUG
Molecule: ribosomal RNA, 466 nt
Filed under: uncultured bacterium
Lineage: Bacteria
Description: bacterial SSU rRNA
Rfam family: Bacterial small subunit ribosomal RNA
Source: RNAcentral